This 305-nucleotide unclassified non-coding RNA is filed under the name Hevea brasiliensis (rubber tree). The record is from RNAcentral. Lineage: Eukaryota; Viridiplantae; Streptophyta; Magnoliopsida; Malpighiales; Euphorbiaceae.
UCAUAUUUCAAAUCAUCAAAAGCUGUAUGUUAUCCACUUCUUUCCUUUCAAAUUUCUUUUUCAUUUCCUCUGGUUACAUAUAGGGUAAAUGAUUAUUACUGAGGUGUUCAAUUGAGGCUUUAAUUAAUGUCUUCAAGGCUCUGCCGCUUUUUGUUCGUGGAAUUGCCUGAGUGACUUCACAAAUGCAACCUCAUUUCGGAAACUAAAAGUUUGUAACUUGCCUAUAUUCUUGUCUUUACUGCAGAGAACAAACAUUUAUAUUGUUCUAAAAAGAGUGAAGGAUGUGUAUCGAAAACAGACAGAGA